Molecule: ribosomal RNA, 253 nt
Filed under: uncultured prokaryote
Description: partial 16S ribosomal RNA
Rfam family: Bacterial small subunit ribosomal RNA
Source: RNAcentral
UACGAAGGGGGCUAGCGUUGCUCGGAAUCACUGGGCGUAAAGCGCACGUAGGCGGGUCCUUAAGUCAGGGGUGAAAUCCUGGAGCUCAACUCCAGAACCGCCUCUGAUACUGAGGAUCUCGAGUUCGGGAGAGGUGAGUGGAACUGCGAGUGUAGAGGUGAAAUUCGUAGAUAUUCGCAAGAACACCAGUGGCGAAGGCGGCUCACUGGCCCGAUACUGACGCUGAGGUGCGAAAGCGUGGGGAGCAAACAGG